Molecule: transfer RNA, 52 nt
Filed under: Vicia cracca (bird vetch)
Lineage: Eukaryota; Viridiplantae; Streptophyta; Magnoliopsida; Fabales; Fabaceae
Description: partial tRNA-Leu
Source: RNAcentral
AAAAGCCCAUGAAAUUCCCUUUUUUUAUUGAGUUGACAUAGACUCAAGUAAU